CUCCUCCUCUUCUUCCUCUGGAUGAGAAGAAAGAGGUCCUCCAGUAAAGCAUGUGGACAGGGAGGAAGGCCAGAUACUGUGGAGGAGCUACUUCAUGUUCCUGUGUAUGCAAACAUCCCUUGGCUCCUGCAGCACAGAGAGAACCAAUAGAAGAGCAGGAUGGCCAUCACCGUGCCAUCAUCCACACCUCUUGCUAAGACAUCCAGGAAUUGCCGCACUGAUUGGCUGGCUCCGUUGUCCAAUCAGACCAAACGGAUGAGGUCCUUUAAUCUGUGGUCAACAUAGACAAUAUGUUUGUAACUUAAUCAACCCAAUGGAUCUGCUGAAGUUCAGAUUCCCUCUCGAAGCUGCACAUCCUAAGGUGCUUAGGUUCCUGUGCUGUAUAAUGCUGUCUUCAACUUCUCUAUUAUUAAUAUGGGAUCUUUGCAUUUUAGUGAUUGUAUUUUUUUGAAUAUGGUGAUCCUGUGAUGGUCAUUGCCAUUAUUGCGCUAUAUUAAUCAAUUGAUAACGUGAAUAUGAAAGUAACCAAUCUCAUUGGACCUUUGAGAGGUAACCUAACGUGAUGCUUACAUUAACAAAAAAAAGUUUGUCAUUCCUCAUUCUGAUAGUUUUUGAUUUAGACUCUUUUUAAAUAAAUGACUUAUUUUAAUGAGUUGACUCCAGCUAUUGUCACGAUUCCUGAGGUUGGUCUAGUUGUAACACGCACUUCUACAUCAAGUAGAUGUUUAGAUAUGAGUAUUCAAUAGGUUUAGCAAGUAUUUAGAA
Long non-coding RNA from Gadus chalcogrammus (walleye pollock), 765 nucleotides. RefSeq lists it as uncharacterized. The record is from RefSeq and is a predicted model, not a curated record. The transcript is spliced from 3 exons. Lineage: Eukaryota; Metazoa; Chordata; Actinopteri; Gadiformes; Gadidae.